Molecule: ribosomal RNA, 498 nt
Filed under: uncultured bacterium
Lineage: Bacteria
Description: partial 16S ribosomal RNA
Rfam family: Bacterial small subunit ribosomal RNA
Source: RNAcentral
AUUGAACGCUGGCGGCAUGCUUUACACAUGCAAGUCGAACGGUAACAGGCCGCAAGGUGCUGACGAGUGGCGAACGGGUGAGUAAUGCAUCGGAACGUGCCCAGUCGUGGGGGAUAACUGCUCGAAAGAGCAGCUAAUACCGCAUACGAUCUAUGGAUGAAAGCGGGGGACCGUAAGGCCUCGCGCGAUUGGAGCGGCCGAUGUCAGAUUAGGUAGUUGGUGGGGUAAAGGCUCACCAAGCCAACGAUCUGUAGCUGGUCUGAGAGGACGACCAGCCAAACUGGGACUGAGACACGGCCCAGACUCCUACGGGAGGCAGCAGUGGGGAAUUUUGGACAAUGGGGGCAACCCUGAUUCAGCAAUGCCGCGUGCAGGAAGAAGGCCUUCGGGUUGUAAACUGCUUUUGUACGGAACGAAACGGUCUGGGUUAAUACCCUGGGCUAAUGACGGUACCGUAAGAAUAAGCACCGGCUAACUACGUGCCAGCCGCCGCGGUAA